Molecule: ribosomal RNA, 301 nt
Filed under: uncultured bacterium
Lineage: Bacteria
Description: partial 16S ribosomal RNA
Rfam family: Bacterial small subunit ribosomal RNA
Source: RNAcentral
CAGUCGCCGCGGGAAUACGAAGGGUGCAAGCGUUAAUCGGAAUUACUGGGCGUAAAGCGUGCGUAGGCGGUGAGUUAAGUCUGCUGUGAAAUCCCCGGGCUCAACCUGGGAAUGGCAGUGGAUACUGGCUCGCUAGAGUGUGUCAGAGGAUGGUGGAAUUCCCGGUGUAGCGGUGAAAUGCGUAGAGAUCGGGAGGAACAUCAGUGGCGAAGGCGGCCAUCUGGGACAACACUGACGCUGAGGCACGAAGGCGUGGGGAGCAAACAGGAUUAGAUACCCCCGUAGUCCCUGUCUCUUAUAC